GGGGCUGUAACUCAGUGGUAGAGUACUUGCCUGGCAUGCAUGAGGCACUGGGUUCGAUUCUCAGCACCA
Molecule: transfer RNA, 69 nt
Filed under: Ictidomys tridecemlineatus (thirteen-lined ground squirrel)
Lineage: Eukaryota; Metazoa; Chordata; Mammalia; Rodentia; Sciuridae
Also listed under: 1 other name
Description: Spermophilus tridecemlineatus (thirteen-lined ground squirrel) tRNA
Rfam family: tRNA
About the family: Transfer RNA (tRNA) molecules are approximately 80 nucleotides in length. Their secondary structure includes four short double-helical elements and three loops (D, anti-codon, and T loops).
Source: Rfam by way of RNAcentral